Molecule: non-coding RNA, 252 nt
Filed under: uncultured bacterium
Lineage: Bacteria
Also listed under: 3 other names
Description: partial 16S ribosomal RNA
Rfam family: Bacterial small subunit ribosomal RNA
Source: RNAcentral
UACGUAUGGGGCAAGCGUUAUCCGGAAUUAUUGGGCGUAAAGAGUGCGUAGGUGGUUACCUAAGCGCAAGGUUUAAUCUUGAGGCUCAACCUCAUUCUGCCUUGCGAACUGGGCUACUUGAGUGCAGGAGGGGAAAGCGGAAUUCCCAGUGUAGCGGUGAAAUGCGUAGAUAUUGGGAAGAACACCGGUGGCGAAGGCGGCUUUCUGGACUGUAACUGACACUGAGGCACGAAAGCGUGGGGAGCAAACAGG